UAACAAUUAGAUAAAGUUUAACUCUAGAAUCUGUCUGGCUCUAGAACUAGAAUGAGUUAAUAAACCAGUUGUAGUUAUUUGACCAUAACUUGAUCUCUAAAACUCCAAAUGACAUAAUUCAAAAGGAAAAACAAAGACAAAACAUAGUAGAACAACUUCCGUGAAGGGAGUGUGGCCAAAUAAUGGCCACAUCUUAAUCAAUUUGCUAGGCGAAUUUAAAAUACCAAAUCUGGACCUUGAGAAA
This 244-nucleotide unclassified non-coding RNA is filed under the name Hevea brasiliensis (rubber tree). The record is from RNAcentral. Lineage: Eukaryota; Viridiplantae; Streptophyta; Magnoliopsida; Malpighiales; Euphorbiaceae.